AAUUUUUAACCUAACUCUUAUAGCUAAUCUGAUCUCUUAUAGUUUAUAAAUCGUGUAAAGAAUUGGUUUGGUUAAUAUGUUUGUUGAUCUAGAUAUGCAAACCUUGUAGAUCAGACAGUAAUUUGAGAGAUCAAGUCAAGGAAACAGAUACUAUCCAGGUUGAAAGUAGCGGACACAAAAUCAGUGGCCGAUUUGAAACGAAAUAUGUGGUUCGUCAAGUCAAUCGAGAAACAGAAAAUAUAAGUUUCAUAAUUUUCUUUGAGUGUUUGUUUAUUCAUAAUAUCUAAUCUA
RNAcentral lists this long non-coding RNA (291 nucleotides) under Brassica napus (rape). RNAcentral's name for it is "long non-coding RNA (BNAP_LNC008141)". Lineage: Eukaryota; Viridiplantae; Streptophyta; Magnoliopsida; Brassicales; Brassicaceae. The record is from RNAcentral.